This 405-nucleotide ribosomal RNA is filed under the name uncultured bacterium. RNAcentral's name for it is "partial 16S ribosomal RNA". It matches the Rfam family "Bacterial small subunit ribosomal RNA", at positions 28 to 526 of the family's 1533-position model. The record is from RNAcentral.
GAUGAACGCUGGCGGCGUGCCUAACACAUGCAAGUCGAGCGAAGCGGGGACGGGUGAGUAACACGUGGAUAACCUCAUAUAAGAAUGGGAUAACUUAGGGAAACCGUAGCUAAACCCGACACUUAUAGAUGGAUCCGCGUUGCAUUAGCUAGUUGGUAAGGUAACGGCUUACCAAGGCUACGAUGCAUAGACGACCUGAGAGGAUGAUCGGCCACACUGGGACUGAGACACGGUCCAGACUCCUACGGGAGGCAGCAGUAGGGAAUCUUGCGCAAUGGGCGAAAGCCUGACGGAGCAACGCCGCGUGAGUGAUGAAGGUCUUCGGGUCGUAAAGCUCUGUUAGUAGGGAAGCGGUACCUAAACAGAAAGCACCGGCUAACUACGUGCCAGCAGCCGCGGUAAUAC